Hibiscus syriacus is the source of this 1213-nucleotide RNA transcript. It is a transcript of the gene named universal stress protein PHOS34-like, with no coding region annotated. The record is from RefSeq and is a predicted model, not a curated record. The transcript is spliced from 3 exons. NCBI's taxonomy places the organism in Eukaryota, Viridiplantae, Streptophyta, Magnoliopsida, Malvales, Malvaceae.
AUUAAAAAAGUCCUGUCACUUUCCGAAGGAAAAAAUAAAAAAGAAUCAGGAAAGGGAAAAAAUGGAAAGCCCAAAUAAAGGAAAGAAAAUGAGUUCUUCUGAUAACAACAGUGACCCGAAGUUGCCAUCUAUCAAGAUCCACCUCCCCUCCUCCCCGCACUACUCAUCAUCCGCCGCCUCCUCUCCCACCCCCGUCGCCGGCGCACGUCGUAAGAUCGGGGUUGCCGUUGAUCUCUCCGAGGAAUCGGCUUUCGCUGUUCGUUGGACCGUCCAAAACUACCUCCGACCAGGCGAUGCUGUCAUCCUCCUCCACGUGUCACCAACGUCUGUGCUCUACGGAGCUGAUUGGGGACCAGUUCCCCAAACCCAACAAAGCCCGCAAACGCCGGAGACCCAGAAGCAACUGGAGGACGAUUUCGAUGCCUUCACGGCUUCGAAGGCAGCGGAUUUGGCCAAACCAUUGAAGGAAGCUGGGAUUCUCUUUAAGAUUCAUAUAGUGAAAGAUCAUGAUAUGAGGGAAAGAUUGUGUCUUGAGGUGGAGAGGUUGGGUUUGAGUGCUGUUAUAAUGGGGAGCAGAGGGUAUGGAGCUGAGAUAAGAGGGAAUGAUGGUAGAUUGGGAAGUGUUACUGAUUAUUGUGUGCAUCAUUGUGUUUGUCCUGUUGUUGUUGUUAGGUAUCCUGACGAGAAAGAUGGCGGGAAUGGUCAGCCCGCUGCAACAACCAAGGAGGUCAAGAUGGAGGGAAAAGGUGGCAAAAGUUAAUCCUUUCAGGGUUCAUUUUCGGCUGUUUGAGAUGCUUAGCAAGUCUAGUAAUUGCAGCAUUAUCCUAUCGGUAGCAGAUAGCAGAGAAGGCUAUAAGUAGCUCACGAUUAGCCCGUACGAAGGAUUAUGUUAAAAUGGAUCCUAGGAUUCACUCUUUCUACUUUCGUCUCUGUUUUGUUGAACUUUUUUUAUUGGUGAUGUUAUCAUAUGACCGUUGAGGUUCUAGAUUUCCUUUUAUGGCACUCGAGAUCAAGAUUUACUGCACCGUGAUGAUAUUCUAUAGGAUAAACCCAGUCUCAACAUUUGCUUUCAGUUUUAUGAGCUGUUAUGUUUUGCGUUGAUGUCGUUGUGCAGGAACAAAAAAACAUGAAAAAAAUUCACGAGCUUCACCUUGAAUUCAAGGGCAUUUUUUUAUGUAUAAAUCCGGAAUAGUUUUAUUUAUUUACUUAUUUU